Oryctolagus cuniculus (rabbit) is the source of this 67-nucleotide small nucleolar RNA. NCBI's taxonomy places the organism in Eukaryota, Metazoa, Chordata, Mammalia, Lagomorpha, Leporidae. The record is from Ensembl.
GGUUCAUGAUGACAUAGGACCUUGUCUGAAUAAUAAUGAUUUCAAAAUUUGAGCUUAAAAUGAAAUC